RNAcentral lists this unclassified non-coding RNA (318 nucleotides) under plant metagenome. RNAcentral describes it as "partial contains 5.8S ribosomal RNA, internal transcribed spacer 2, and large subunit ribosomal RNA". The stretch from base 1 to 105 matches the Rfam family "5.8S ribosomal RNA", at positions 50 to 154 of the family's 154-position model. The record is from RNAcentral.
GAAAUGCGAUAAGUAAUGUGAAUUGCAGAAUUCAGUGAAUCAUCGAAUCUUUGAACGCACAUUGCGCCCGCCAGAAUUCUGGCGGGCAUGCCUGUUCGAGCGUCAUUUCAACCCUCGAGCUCCCCUUGCGGGGGGAGCCCGGCGUUGGGGACGCGGCGCCAACAGCGCCGGCCCCGAAAUGGAGUGGCGGCCCGUCCGCGGCGACCUCUGCGUAGUAACAUCCACUCGCACCGGGACCCGGGCGCGGCCACGCCGUAAAACACCCCACCUUCCGAAUGUUGACCUCGAAUCAGGUAGGAAUACCCGCUGAACUUAAGC